UGGCCCCCCAGUCGCCCCCCAGCCACCCUCAGCAGCCCCCCCUCCGCCUGGACCUCGUGGACACAGCCGUGGUCGCCCGGCAUCGCCCCCGGGGACCCGAAAGCCCCCCCAGCAACCGCUACGCCGGCGACUGGAGCAUCGAGCUGGGGAGAUACGAGGAGGUGACGAGCGGCGACAGUCGUGUCGCGAAUCGCCGGACCCUUAUCGUGACCGAUUUUGGUCUCGGCGACGAAAGCGAUUCGUCGUUCGCUCCGAUGCUUAACCUCAAAGACUUCGAUGCUCUCAUCCUCGACCUCGAGAGGGAGUUGGCCAAACAGAUCAACGUCUGUCUGUGAUGCCGGUACCGAGCAAAACGACACCGGUACCGAGCCAACGACACCGGCACCGAGCAAACGACACCAGCACCGAGCAAAUGGCACCGGUACCAACAACACCGGCACCGAGCAAAUGACACCGGCACUGAGCAAACGACAGCAGCACCGAGCAAACGACACCGGCACCGAGCAAACGACACCGGUACUGACAACACUGGUACCAACAACACCGGCACCGAGCAAACGACACCGGUACCGAGCAAACGACACCGGCACCGAGCAAACGACACCGGCACCGAGCAAACGACACCGGUACUGACAACACCGGUACCGAGCAAAACGACACCGGCACCGACAACACCGGUACCAACAACACCGGCACCGAGCAACAACAACACUGGCACUGAGCAAAUGACACCGGUACCGAGCAAACGACACCGGUACCAACAACACUGGCACCGAGCAAACGGCACCGGCACUGAGCAAACGACACCAGCACCGAGCAAACAACACCGGCACCAAGCAAACGACACCGGUACCAACAACACCAGUACCGAGCAAACAACACCGGUACCGAGCAAACAACACCGGUACCGACAACACCGGUACCAAGCAAAUGACACCGGCACUGAGCAAACGACACUGGCACCGAGCAAAACAACACCGGCACCGAGCAAACGACACCGGAUCAGGAAAAAAAACCCAAAAAAAACCCGACACCGGCACCGUCGAGUGAGCGACCAAAAAAAACCCCAAAAAUCGGCACUCGCCUUCGUUUGCCUUGGGUUUGCACAGCGACAGACGGAAGGGAAGCCGGCAGCAGGAGGUGAUGGAGCCUUUGUGGGACCCCAGACCCACCGGGUUGGACCCCCCACCCAACCCCCGUU
RNAcentral lists this long non-coding RNA (1201 nucleotides) under Phasianus colchicus (ring-necked pheasant). RNAcentral describes it as "lncRNA (ENSPCLG00000015867.1)". Lineage: Eukaryota; Metazoa; Chordata; Aves; Galliformes; Phasianidae. The record is from RNAcentral.